UGGGACCCACACCACAGUGCACGGCAACACUGGAUCCUUAAGCUACUGAGCAAGCCAAGGAUCAAACCUGCAACCUCAUGGUUCCUACUUGGAUUCGUUUGCACUGUGCAAGGACAGGAAGUCCUGGAACAGUCCAAUUUUUAGAAAGCAAUAUAGCUUCUAUAAGUUGCUUAACUUACCUGCAGGUAACAUUACCAAACAUUAGUAGAUCACAAAUCUAAGUCAAUAAAAAAGUCCAUCUAUGUUUUAAACAUACUCUCAAAGCAAAUUUGAAAAUAGCUGUAUUCAGAAUAUCCAGAAUUCAUUUUUCUUCUAUUCUUUCUUGGCAUUUAUUUCCUUGUUACUCAAAGAGUGCUCCACAGACCAGCAGCCUUCACAUCUCAGAGACUGUUAGAAAUGCAGAACUUUGGGAUGCACCUACACCCCACUGAAUCAGAAUCUGCAUUUUAAUAAGAUCCAUAGGUAAUACAUAUGCUCAUUAAAGUGUGUGAAGCUCUUUAAUAAAAGAUAAAAAUAUUUUGUAGUUUAACGUCAGGUUCAAGAUUUCUUUCGGGGGUAAUGACAAUGUCCUGGAAUUAGACAGUUGAUGAUUGUUUCCCCAACUUUGUGCACAUACUAAACACCACUGAACUGUACAACCUAAAUGAGUGGAUUUUUUGAUAUGGGCAAGAUAGCUUAUUUUUAAAGGGCAAAAAGAUAAUAGUAAAUGCUUUCAAACCAUACAACACAAAGAUGAACCGAAGAAGUUCCUUUUUUCUUUUUCUUUUAUCUAGGGGAAAAUUUAGAUGCACCAUUUUCCGGGCCUCACCUCUUACUGGGAAAGGAAUUCAUAGCAGGUCUUUGGGCAGCCCUGACCAAGGAUCUGAAUGAUCUGAAGGUGCACCCAUCUAUCCUGACCUCAUCCGCGCCCCCGUGAGAGAGGAGAAAGAGAGAGGUUUCUCUACUGCUGCUUACAGAACUGCUACCGAGAACUGCUUUACUCGGGGAAACCGCAUGCCAGUGGAUGUGACAUGUCAAAAAACCAGAAUGCUCAAUCAACUAAAGGGGCAAAGAGGCAGAAACACCAUCUGCCAGAGGCACUUGUGGUCUCAGGCAUGUGGGGGUAGGGAAGACUUCUCCCACAUUCAGGCAUCUGCUCACCCCUGACACCCUCCCCCCACCCCCCAGGCCAAAACAAACUCUUCAGAUUCUUAAAUAAAAUCUCGUCUCGUUCGUAGUUAGAGUGCAUAACAACCUUUCCCGCGGCUACAAUUACGAAUUUCCGCGCCCUGCGCUUGUAACAAGUAGCCUCCCGCGGACGCCCUAGGUACAAGCUUCGCGCUGCCAGUGGGGAAACCUAGAGGUUCUUUUUCUCUGACUAAAUGGGUAGAACUCAGAGACAGGGGAGAGGACGUCCUGGGUAAGUCCCCCCGCCUCUCCCCUUUCCCACGCACACCUUGGAACCUUGCAGCGGUCCCGCGGCCGGAGGACCGGUGCGCAGAGGACCUGAAGGGCUACGAGGGCAUCGUGCAGACGGAGGGCACGCUGGUUUUCCCAGUUCCCCAGGCGGGAAUGCGCAGCAGCGCGCAGGACCCUUAAAGUUCCGGUCACCUCUCCUACAGAGGCUGAGUCACAGGGGGCGCACUUCUAAAUAGUCCCCAGCCCAGACCCUGCAUUUGGUGUAGGGUCUCUUUGAGGAAGCGGGAUUAUAUCUAGACUGCAAACAGUGCAACACACUUGAUCACUUAGAGUGGCAUCGGUACCCUACGGUCAUUCUCGCACCUACUCGAGGGUGUGUUCCCCAGGAGCCGACCUCGACCCGUGCGAUCCCUCCGCUCACUCAGGACCGGGCCGGGGUCGCACGGCAGUGGAAGAACAGACGCCGAGACGCGCACGGAGCUGCGGGUACUCUCUCGCUAACUUACGCCUCCCACCCGCAGCCCGCCCAGUCAGCCCGCGUCGCCCGCACUUACAAGCUGGGGUAGUAACCGUAGGGAAGCAGCGGGGGCUGCGGGUAGCCGUCGUCUCCCAACUCCGAGUCCAUGAGCAGGUACUAGUUACAUGGAGAUGGACAGAACAGGAGCCAGACAUGAGAAGAUCAGAAGCUGGUUGCCAUAGGAGUGAAGAAAAGCAGGUGGUCUGAAAUUCUGCUGAUAAAGGUGUGAUACAGUGCAGAGCCAUCCCUCUUCCAAGAUCAUGCAAUCUGAAGUUCCUUGAAUGGAGACCAAGACGUUUCCCUGAGAUGCCUACAACAUUUCUAAGCCAAAAGGACUUUCUGCCACCCAUGAUUAGGAGUAAUGAGGUGGGGACUGGGGAGAAAUGUGGAGGAAAUUGUCACUUUUGUAUAAACUAAAGUAUUUAUAGAUUUGAAAGGUAAAGUAAUGAUAGAUUUAAGUGGUAUCAGUGAUAAAAGAAGCAUGAAAUUUUGUUUUCAAAGACAACAACA
Molecule: non-coding RNA, 2425 nt
Organism: Sus scrofa (pig)
Lineage: Eukaryota; Metazoa; Chordata; Mammalia; Artiodactyla; Suidae
Source: RefSeq, a predicted model, not a curated record